GUUCCCUACCUGGCCUUGAAACCCAAAGAGGAGCCGGAGAUUGGUCAGAGGCAGUACCUGUACCUAAGGCAGGGUCACUUGGCUGGAUGGUUGGUUUGUGAUGCAAAAUGAUGCCAACAGUGUGCGUUCAUUUCCUGCUUUGGCUGAGGCUACCAGGAAGGAUUCUUCUUCUCAACGUCUCCUCUCAUGUGAGGUGUGUAGACCCUCAGGUUAAACCAUCACCUCUCUAUCUCUCUAAUGAGGAGCAGCACUUCAAAAGCUUGUGAUUUCAAAUAAACCUGUUGAACUAUA
Molecule: long non-coding RNA, 291 nt
Organism: Rhincodon typus (whale shark)
Lineage: Eukaryota; Metazoa; Chordata; Chondrichthyes; Orectolobiformes; Rhincodontidae
Exons: 2
Source: RefSeq, a predicted model, not a curated record